This 253-nucleotide ribosomal RNA is filed under the name uncultured bacterium. Its description in RNAcentral is "partial 16S ribosomal RNA". It matches the Rfam family "Bacterial small subunit ribosomal RNA", at positions 524 to 776 of the family's 1533-position model. The record is from RNAcentral.
UACGUAGGGAGCUAGCGUUGUUCGGAAUUACUGGGCGUAAAGCGCGCGUAGGCGGCUUUUUAAGUCAGGGGUGAAAUCCCGGAGCUCAACUUCGGAAUUGCCUUUAAGACUGCAUCGCUUGAAUCAUGGAGAGGUCAGUGGAAUUCCGAGUGUAGAGGUGAAAUUCGUAGAUAUUCGGAAGAACACCAGUGGCGAAGGCGACUGACUGGACAUGUAUUGACGCUGAGGUGCGAAAGCGUGGGGAGCAAACAGG